This 431-nucleotide ribosomal RNA is filed under the name uncultured soil bacterium. Its description in RNAcentral is "bacterial SSU rRNA". It matches the Rfam family "Bacterial small subunit ribosomal RNA", at positions 958 to 1391 of the family's 1533-position model. The record is from RNAcentral.
AACGCGAAGAACCUUACCUACCCUUGACAUGUACGGAACCCUGCAGAGAUGUGGGGGUGCCUGAAAGGGAGCCGUAACACAGGUGCUGCAUGGCUGUCGUCAGCUCGUGUCGUGAGAUGUUGGGUUAAGUCCCGCAACGAGCGCAACCCUUGUCCCUAGUUGCUACGCAAGGGCACUCUAGGGAGACUGCCGGUGACAAACCGGAGGAAGGUGGGGAUGACGUCAAGUCCUCAUGGCCCUUAUGGGUAGGGCUUCACACGUCAUACAAUGGCCGGUACAGAGGGUUGCCAAAGCGCGAGCUGGAGCCAAUCCCCAUAAAAGCCGGUCGUAGUCCGGAUUGCAGUCUGCAACUCGACUGCAUGAAGUCGGAAUCGCUAGUAAUCGCGGAUCAGCAUGUCGCGGUGAAUACGUUCCCGGGUCUUGUACACACC